This 509-nucleotide ribosomal RNA is filed under the name uncultured bacterium. RNAcentral describes it as "bacterial SSU rRNA". It matches the Rfam family "Bacterial small subunit ribosomal RNA", at positions 346 to 849 of the family's 1533-position model. The record is from RNAcentral.
AGGCAGCAGUAGGGAAUCUUCCACAAUGGACGAAAGUCUGAUGGAGCAACGCCGCGUGAGUGAAGAAGGGUUUCCCUCCUAAAGCUCUGUUGGUAGUGAAGAAAGAUAGAGGUAGUAACUGGCCUUUAUUUGACGGUAAUUACUUAGAAAGUCACGGCUAACUACGUGCCAGCAGCCGCGGUAAUACGUAGGUSGCAAGCGUUGUCCGGAUUUAUUGGGCGUAAMGCGCGYGCAGGCGGUUCAAUAAGUCUGAUGUGAACCUUCGGCUCAACCGGAGAAUUGCAUCMSAAACUGUUGAACUUGAGUGCAGAAGAGGAGAGUGGAACUCCAUGUGUAGCGGUGGAAUGCGUAGAUAUAUGGAAGAACACCAGUGGCGAAGGCGGCUCUCUGGUCUGCMACUGACGCUGAGGCUCGAAAGCAUGGGUMGCGAACAGGAUUAGAUACCCUGGUAGUCCAUGCCGUAAACGAUGAGUGCUAAGUGUUGGGAGGUUUCCGCCUCUCAGUGCUGC